This 586-nucleotide ribosomal RNA is filed under the name Pseudomonas sp. StFRB282. Its description in RNAcentral is "bacterial SSU rRNA". It matches the Rfam family "Bacterial small subunit ribosomal RNA", at positions 102 to 683 of the family's 1533-position model. Lineage: Bacteria; Pseudomonadati; Pseudomonadota; Gammaproteobacteria; Pseudomonadales; Pseudomonadaceae. The record is from RNAcentral.
ACGGGUGAGUAAUGCCUAGGAAUCUGCCUGGUAGUGGGGGACAACGUCUCGAAAGGGACGCUAAUACCGCAUACGUCCUACGGGAGAAAGCAGGGGACCUUCGGGCCUUGCGCUAUCAGAUGAGCCUAGGUCGGAUUAGCUAGUUGGUGAGGUAAUGGCUCACCAAGGCGACGAUCCGUAACUGGUCUGAGAGGAUGAUCAGUCACACUGGAACUGAGACACGGUCCAGACUCCUACGGGAGGCAGCAGUGGGGAAUAUUGGACAAUGGGCGAAAGCCUGAUCCAGCCAUGCCGCGUGUGUGAAGAAGGUCUUCGGAUUGUAAAGCACUUUAAGUUGGGAGGAAGGGUUGUAGAUUAAUACUCUGCAAUUUUGACGUUACCGACAGAAUAAGCACCGGCUAACUCUGUGCCAGCAGCCGCGGUAAUACAGAGGGUGCAAGCGUUAAUCGGAAUUACUGGGCGUAAAGCGCGCGUAGGUGGUUUGUUAAGUUGGAUGUGAAAGCCCCGGGCUCAACCUGGGAACUGCAUUCAAAACUGACAAGCUAGAGUAUGGUAGAGGGUGGUGGAAUUUCCCUGUGUAGCGGUG